UAUAUUAUAGGCCCAAUGAAGCACGCAUGCCCCAGUGAUUAUUCUAUGUCCGUGUGCCAGCAAGCCAAGCUCCGGCCGGCCAGUUGCAUCAAUAUUCAACUAAUUCCUUCCCCGAAAGGAAACCGUUUAUAUCGAUUGGGCAGGUUCAAACCCCUUAUGCUGCUCUGAUGAUUUCUUUUGAAUUUUAGCGAAGCCCAGAAAGAUUAUUAUUAAUUCAAGCAGCAGAAGCAGAGUCUUGAAAAUCGAUCGUUGGAAUCCACUCAUAUCGAGGAGAUCAGAGUUCGCCGGAAUCAGCGGCCGCGACCGAUGACCCCGCCAGAGCAAGUGAUCGAAGAGCCGGCGCCGUUUUGAAAUGGCAUCUCCUCCGCCAGAGCAAGAGUGAUGGCAGAGCCGGCGCCGUUUGAGAAUGGAUUAGGCUGAUGAGCAAGGCCCCGUCAUGCUUGCCCCAAUGCUUCUGCGUCCAUGUGUCAAGCACCACGCCAAGGCUCCGGCCACUGCCAUCAACUUCCUUCCUCGAAGGGAAAGCGUUUUCGCUUGUCUUAUUUCUACCAAUUCAUUAAUCAGCAGCGGUCGAAUCCAUGCAGCUCUGAUUUCUUGUGAAUUCUUGGCGAAACCCGCAAAGACGCAGGCGGCACAAGCAGAGUGUUGAGAAUGGACAGUUUGUACCCAGUGAAGGAGGAGUAUCCCGGAGCGAGUUCGUCGGAAUUGGGGGAGCAGCCAUUAAUGCCGCCGCCGCAACCGAUGGAGGGGCUUCACGACGUGGGUCCGCCGCCUUUUCUGAGCAAGACGUUUGAGAUGGUGGAUGAUCCAGCGUGCGAUCGGAUAGUUUCUUGGAGCAGAGGCGGCUACAGCUUUGUUGUGGGGGAUCCUCACGCUUUCUCCACCAAUCUCCUCCCCAGAUACUUCAAACACAAUAACUUUUCCAGCUUUGUCAGGCAGCUCAACACUUACGGCUUCAGGAAGAUCGAUCCAGACAGAUGGGAAUUUGCCAAUGAAGCAUUCUUGAGGGGUCAGAAGCAUCUCCUGAGAAACAUCAGAAGAAGAAAGACACCUUCCCAGCAGCAGCAGCAGCAGCAGCAGCUUCCUUCCCAACAAGCCAUAGGCCCAUGUGUCGAAGUAGGAAGAUUCGGCUUAGACGGCGAAGUACAUCGCCUGAGGCGUGACAAGCACGUGCUAAUGAUGGAGCUGGUGAAACUGAGGCAGCAGCAGCAGAACACCAGGGCUCACCUCCAAGCCAUGGAGGUGAGGCUCCAAGGAACAGAGAGGAAGCAGCAACAGAUGACGAGUUUUCUGGCCCGAGCCAUGCAAAACCCGGCAUUUAUCCAGCAAGUAGCCCAGCAGAAAGAGAAAAGAAAGGAGCUGGAAGAAGCCAUUAGCAAGAAGAGACGGCGGCGGAUCGAUCAUGGCCCCGGCGGCUGCUGGGGAGAGUCGAGCUGGGCCCGGGGAGGGGACGAGUUGAGUCCCAUUAAAGCUGAGCCUCUGGAAUUCGAAGAUCUUUAUGGGUUCCAGGUGACGGAGCUGGAGGCGCUGGCCAUGGAAAUACAGGGAUUUGGGAGGGCAGGAAGGGAGCUUGAAGAAGAAGAAGAAGAAGUGGAGGAAUUGGAGAGUGCAGAUAGGGAAAUUGACGAGGGAUUCUGGGAAGAACUAUUGAAUGAGAAAUUCGAGGAAGAGGAGGAGGAGGAAGAAGAAGACUUGAAUGUGUUGGCAAAUCAGUUUGGUCACUUGGAUUCAAGUUCCAAAUAAAAUUAAUUAAUGUGGGCAUCAAUCGGGGGAUUCGAUCAAAUGCAUGCCAUUUGAUUUUCUGCUCGGUAGUAGUGUUAUCUGUUGAUUAAUGUCUGGUUUUGUGUAGUUUAGGUGCUCAGGCGAAGGGGAAGAAGACAAUCAGACUUGGCUAAUCCUAAUCCCAAUCCACUCGGUUACUGGCAAUCACGCCCACGUAUGCUAGUUUUCAAGUACCUUAUCUGUCCCGAAUGUUUCUUUUACCGUUGUCUAGUAGUAACUUUCUUCUGAUUUUUCUGGGUGUUUAUUUCACAGGAAUAACCAACAAAAAGCCUCUGUAACCAUGGAAAAUAUGUCUUGGGGGGGGGGGGCUUUGUUCUUUCUAACUCUACUCGAAGACAAUUGCAUUGCUUCGCCAGAUAUACGAUUUGAUUGCUCCCAAAGAUUGCCCAGCAGCUGUCGAAAAGGAGAUUGUCUGGCUUGACUUGAUCAUCGCCUUCCUAAAACUUCAGUUAAGUGACCCUCUUCCAAUGGUUGGAUUUUUCAUCAUGAACUGCCCUGUUCUUUUAUUGUUUGAUUAAUUGAGACACAGACGCAGGCAAAUAGUGGGCAAUGAAUUUGGUGGUGCAACAUCUAUACCGUGUAAGAUAUUCUCAGAUGCAGCAGCAAGGUCGAAUUGAAACUAAAACAACACAGAUGCACAGAUAGAACAUCCCUCCUUGUAAUUCUCUUUGCUCCUGUAUAAUCAACUCUUGAUUGUUGUUUGGUGAUAGGCACAUGUGAAUGGUGAAUGGACUCAAUUAAUUUUGUCCUAAUAAUUUUUUGGUUAAAAUUUACUAUCCUUUAAUUUGAAGCUUACAAUUUAAGACUCUUAUUCUUAUAAUCUUAUUUUUUAUUGAGAAUAUCUUUUGACAUUAUUUUUUGACUAAAAUUAUAUUUAUAUAUCUGAAAAAUAAAAUAACCACAAUGACCCAAUUAAUCUUAAAUAAUUAUACACAGUUCUAUUUUUAUAAAUCAAUUAAAAAUUAAAAUAUCAAGUUUACCUUUAAGCAAAUGAAAGUAGCUUUCAUUGAUGAUUUGGGGGG
Molecule: RNA transcript, 2804 nt
Organism: Diospyros lotus (date-plum)
Lineage: Eukaryota; Viridiplantae; Streptophyta; Magnoliopsida; Ericales; Ebenaceae
Gene name: heat stress transcription factor A-6b-like
Exons: 5
Source: RefSeq, a predicted model, not a curated record